RNAcentral lists this ribosomal RNA (282 nucleotides) under Triticum aestivum (bread wheat). Its description in RNAcentral is "partial small subunit ribosomal RNA". Lineage: Eukaryota; Viridiplantae; Streptophyta; Magnoliopsida; Poales; Poaceae. The record is from RNAcentral.
AAUAACCGACUUGUUAACUCCGACAAUAUGGAAGUAAUUGACACGAUGAAGAGUGGAGGACAUACAGCGGGAGCGGCGGCAGCUGUGUUUGAUGAUUGUUAUUUUUUGGCUUGUGAUUUUUCGUUAGUUAGAUUUGAACACUGUAAUAGAAAGGCAAAUAAAGUAGCUCAUGAAGUUGCUAGAGUAGCCAAAUUUUCUGAGACAAAGGACUGGUUUUAGGAACCUAUGAACGAUAUUGUAAAUUUUUUUAUAGACGAUGUAACCGUUAUUACUAAUAAAUAA